AACUGUACUGUACGCCCUUAUAGCUAAACUGCAGAACACAAUAGGAGAUAUUUAUAAAAUGUAGAAGACAAUCGCCAUAACUUUUUUAUUGGCAAGUUAGGAUUUGGCUUGUAUGCCAUUCGGGUCGUUUAUAAAGAGAUUAACAGGGAGGAGCUGGAACAUUCCAGCAGUUUCCGUGGCGAUUGGAACUUGAUAUAGAACGGCAGGUUGAAUGGUCCCCAGUUUAUCAUCAUAGUUAUCAGAGGUUAGAGUCAGGUAAUUUUUAUGCCCAUGUAGUAUAGUUUCAUACAAAUUCUAUUUCUUAUCAAAUUGAAUCAAAUAAAUAGAUUAACCUCAAGCAGAUUUGCAAAGAUAACAAUAUAAUAUAAGUUUGUUUCCUGAAAUCCAAGGUGUGGUAUUUGCAAAUAAUUCAGGAUGAUAUCUGUUUCCUUGUGUAAGAAAAGUGUUUAUGGUAGUGUAAUAUUCACUAGGCAAUGUCAUGAAAACGUCAUAUUUUUAUGAUGCUAUUUAGGCUGUAUAACUGAUUAGCAGGAAACGAAUCUUUAUUUCUUCAG
This is a non-coding RNA of Pelobates cultripes (western spadefoot toad), 554 nucleotides long. The record is from the annotation of a GenBank genome assembly. Lineage: Eukaryota; Metazoa; Chordata; Amphibia; Anura; Pelobatidae.